UUAACUCAAAAUUGUAUAAAGUUGGAACGUUUACCUACGUUUGCCGCUAGGGACGCUGCUCCACCUUCAUACCAAUUUGACUCA
This 84-nucleotide microRNA precursor is filed under the name Bombyx mori (domestic silkworm). RNAcentral describes it as "mir-2807 microRNA precursor family". It matches the Rfam family "mir-2807 microRNA precursor family". The record is from Rfam by way of RNAcentral. Lineage: Eukaryota; Metazoa; Arthropoda; Insecta; Lepidoptera; Bombycidae.